UCUCUGCGGAUUCCCCACCCCUCUUUCUCUCGUGUUCUUCUCCCCGCCUUGUUUCUCUCAUUAACCCCGCCGCCCACCUCCAACGGAUCCCAAUCAGCCCUCACGGCACCACCUUUGCCCCCCGGCGGCCCCUCCUCCAGCACCUCCACUGCCGCUGCAACCUUCCCCCGCCCCAGGUCGUGGUGGAGGAAGCGGGAGCGGUGACGAGGUCGCCGUCGUGGGCGUAUGCAGUGGCGAGGACGGAGGCCAGAGGAGAUGGUGGCCGAAGGAAGAGACGAUGAGUAGGACGUGGAGGCGGGUGAGUGUCCAGGGCGUGUCGCGGGAGGAGAGCAGGCGGCGGAGGCAGGGUGAAUCAUUGAGGAAGGCUGCGGAUCCAGGCAUUUGGUUGCUGGAUCUUCAAUUCGACGGAACAGCUGCCAGCCAUAUCCGGUAUUGAGAUUGUGUAUGCGCCUUGACGGAUCGAGAAGUUAGCCCAGUCGAUUGAUGGUGACUGGAGCGGCUCAUUCGAUGCAUUCAUGCAUGUACUUUGACUGGCUCAAGUGUUCUCCAUACAUGCUAGUUAGUCUCCUGGAUGCUGGCCGGGAGUAGUUCCAAUCUUCCAGAAUGCCGCCGUCGACGACGCUGGAGCUCCAAGCAAUACAAUGUUUAUUUUAGAUCCAUUUGCCAUAGGUAUUCUAAGGUAUUCUAGUGAAGUGUUCCAUGCGCCUGGGUGUGGAUGGGAUGGCCUUCGUCUUGUAAAAUGUACAUACUUGGAGCCGGAGCCAUUUCUUAUUCAUGUCAAGACUAGAUUAAGAGCCUAUUUGUUUGGGCUGUGGCUGUGACAGAAGCGGCUGUGAUCAAGGUUGACCGUUUGGCAACAUA
Molecule: long non-coding RNA, 861 nt
Organism: Brachypodium distachyon (stiff brome)
Lineage: Eukaryota; Viridiplantae; Streptophyta; Magnoliopsida; Poales; Poaceae
Exons: 2
Source: RefSeq, a predicted model, not a curated record